Lutra lutra (Eurasian river otter) is the source of this 955-nucleotide long non-coding RNA. RefSeq lists it as uncharacterized. NCBI's taxonomy places the organism in Eukaryota, Metazoa, Chordata, Mammalia, Carnivora, Mustelidae. The transcript has 2 exons. The record is from RefSeq and is a predicted model, not a curated record.
AGCGGAAGUCCUCGCCCUCCCGCCGCCCGGUAGCCCCGCGCCACGGCCGCCGCUUUGAUUUCCAGCAAUGGCUCCAGCACCAGACCCACGCAGUCCCCGGCCGCCGCCGCCACAGCCCGCAGCCGGCUCGCAGCGGCACUUGGAUUCUCUAGAACCUUCGGAGAAUUCCUAAAUCUGCAUUUGAAAGCCUCUGUUCUGGGUCUACAAUUGCUCGGUGGAAUAAAAUCUUCCAAAAGGUCUCAAAAGGAAUGCAGUCGGAUCGGAUCUACUUCCUUCUUCGGUUUACACGAAGAUCCAGGGAAAAUGAAAGCGCUUCCUCCGCCACUUCAUGUUGCAGAGCUAGUUAAAUAACCUCCCCGACCCGGGUUACGAACCCCAACGCCGGCUUCUUCCGGCAGACACCCCAGACUCCCACGUCUGCGGGACAAAAGGCUGCUGUGUCGCCUCGUGCGCUUUCCCAGCCGCACAAACUGUGAACCCAGUCUAACGUGGAACUACAAGUUCCCUAGGGAGAAGGGGAAGCCCCGGGCGCUGGACGCCCCACUCGGGGAAGCCCCCCUCCAACCCACGCCCGAGCGAGCAGUCCGGGGUCCGGGGACUGUGGGCCCAUACUCAGCGCCGGCAAAUCUCCAGACGCAGGCUCCGCAUAGCUGAGCCUCGGCCGAAGCCCGGGGUGCCCCUGGGCAUUGGAAAACAGCCCAGAGAAGAGGGCGGACAUGACCUCGGAAAGUUUUUGGGACUCGAACAUUUAACACUGUGAAGACAAAGAGAUCUUAUUUCCCCGGAACCGGUGGAGGGGACUGCUGGGGGAGCUGCGAGGCAGAUGCGGGCGGGUGAGUCUAGGGUUAAAGAGAGAAAUUCCUUGGUUCAAAGUUAAAUGCAGUCUCUUUUUAAACCAUCCCAAAGAAUGUACUUGUAAAAAUAAAGGUGUCCAGCAGGUUAUGGCUGGGAAAGA